CGUGAAGAGGGAAACAACCCAGACCGCCAGCUAAGGUCCCAAAGUCAUGGUUAAGUGGGAAACGAUGUGGGAAGGCCCAGACAGCCAGGAUGUUGGCUUAGAAGCAGCCAUCAUUUAAAGAAAGCGUAAUAGCUCACUGGUCGAGUCGGCCUGCGCGGAAGAUGUAACGGGGCUAAACCAUGCACCGAAGCUGCGGCAGCGACACUGUGUGUUGUUGGGUAGGGGAGCGUUCUGUAAGCCUGUGAAGGUGUGUCGUGAGGCAUGCUGGAGGUAUCAGAAGUGCGAAUGCUGACAUAAGUAACGAUAAAGCGGGUGAAAAGCCCGCUCGCCGGAAGACCAAGGGUUCCUGUCCAACGUUAAUCGGGGCAGGGUGAGUCGACCCCUAAGGCGAGGCCGAAAGGCGUAGUCGAUGGGAAACGGGUUAAUAUUCCCGUACUUGGUGUUACUGCGAAGGGGGGACGGAGAAGGCUAUGUUGGCCGGGCGACGGUUGUCCCGGUUUAAGCGUGUAGGUGUGUGUUCCAGGUAAAUCCGGUUCACUUUAACACUGAGGCGUGACGACGAGGCACUACGGUGCUGAAGCAACAAAUGCCCUGCUUCCAGGAAAA
This 606-nucleotide ribosomal RNA is filed under the name Salmonella enterica. RNAcentral describes it as "partial 23S ribosomal RNA". It matches the Rfam family "Bacterial large subunit ribosomal RNA", at positions 1009 to 1616 of the family's 2925-position model. Lineage: Bacteria; Pseudomonadati; Pseudomonadota; Gammaproteobacteria; Enterobacterales; Enterobacteriaceae. The record is from RNAcentral.